GAUGAACGCUGGCGGCGUGCCUAACACAUGCAAGUCGAGCGAAGCACUUACUUUAGAUUUCUUCGGAAUGACGAAGUUUGUGACUGAGCGGCGGACGGGUGAGUAACGCGUGGGCAACCUGCCCUGUACAGGGGGAUAACAGUUAGAAAUGACUGCUAAUACCGCAUAAGCCCACAGCUUCGCAUGAAGCAGUGGGAAAAACUCCGGUGGUACAGGAUGGGCCCGCGUCUGAUUAGCUAGUGGGUAAGGUAACGGCUUACCAAGGCGACGAUCAGUAGCCGACCUGAGAGGGUGACCGGCCACAUUGGGACUGAGACACGGCCCAAACUCCUACGGGAGGCAGCAGUGGGGAAUAUUGCACAAUGGGGGAAACCCUGAUGCAGCGACGCCGCGUGAGCGAUGAAGUAUUUAGGUAUGUAAAGCUCUAUCAGCAGGGAAGAAAGUGACGGUACCUGACGAAGAAGCCCCGGCUAACUACGUG
Molecule: ribosomal RNA, 481 nt
Filed under: uncultured bacterium
Lineage: Bacteria
Description: partial 16S ribosomal RNA
Rfam family: Bacterial small subunit ribosomal RNA
Source: RNAcentral